Molecule: long non-coding RNA, 201 nt
Filed under: Mytilus galloprovincialis (Mediterranean mussel)
Lineage: Eukaryota; Metazoa; Mollusca; Bivalvia; Mytilida; Mytilidae
Source: RNAcentral
GCGGGUGCUAGAUCAUUAUCAGUCUAUGACUUCAAAUUAAUUGCUUCACUUUCCAAUAACUGUUGCAGAGAUGUAACAAAAAAAAUCUCCGCAGGUGAUGUAAAGAGUUAUGUAAUGAACAAGAAAAUCGUUAUUUGUCACAGGUAAAUAGAGAUUUGUAAUAGGUGUGUUUUAUAAAUUCCUUCCAUUACAAGCAACACA